CAGCACCUCAAGUGGUCAGGAUGAUUAUUGGGCCUAAAGCAUCCGUAGCCGGCUCUGUAAGUUUUCGGUUAAAUCUGUAUGCUCAACAUACAGGCUGCCGGGAAUACUGCAGAGCUAGGGAGUGGGAGAGGUAGACGGUACUCGGUAGGAAGGGGUAAAAUCCUUUGAUCUAUUGAUGACCACCUGUGGCGAAGGCGGUCUACCAGAACACGUCCGACGGUGAGGGAUGAAAGCUGGGGGAGCAAACCGGAUUAGAUACCCGAGUAGCCC
Molecule: ribosomal RNA, 270 nt
Filed under: uncultured archaeon
Lineage: Archaea
Description: partial 16S ribosomal RNA
Rfam family: Archaeal small subunit ribosomal RNA
Source: RNAcentral